Molecule: small nucleolar RNA, 72 nt
Organism: Talpa occidentalis (Iberian mole)
Lineage: Eukaryota; Metazoa; Chordata; Mammalia; Eulipotyphla; Talpidae
Product: small nucleolar RNA SNORD5
Exons: 1
Source: RefSeq, a predicted model, not a curated record
AACCAGAUGAUGAAUGUACCUGUUCAACUGCUGGGUGACACAGACAUGAACUAAAGCGUCAUUCUGAUAGAG